GAUGAACGCUGGCGGCGUGCUUAACACAUGCAAGUCGAACGGAAAGGCCCAAGCUUGCUUGGGUACUCGAGUGGCGAACGGGUGAGUAACACGUGGGUGAUCUGCCCUGCACUUCGGGAUAAGCCUGGGAAACUGGGUCUAAUACCGGAUAGGACGAUGGUUUGGAUGCCAUUGUGGAAAGUUUUUUCGGUGUGGGAUGAGCUCGCGGCCUAUCAGCUUGUUGGUGGGGUAAUGGCCUACCAAGGCGUCGACGGGUAGCCGGCCUGAGAGGGUGUACGGCCACAUUGGGACUGAGAUACGGCCCAGACUCCUACGGGAGGCAGCAGUGGGGAAUAUUGCACAAUGGGCGCAAGCCUGAUGCAGCGACGCCGCGUGGGGGAUGUCGGCCUUCGGGUUGUAAACUCCUUUCGCUAGGGACGAAGCGUUUUUGUGACGGUACCUGGAGAAGAAGCACCGGCUAACUACGUG
This 468-nucleotide ribosomal RNA is filed under the name uncultured bacterium. Its description in RNAcentral is "partial 16S ribosomal RNA". It matches the Rfam family "Bacterial small subunit ribosomal RNA", at positions 28 to 507 of the family's 1533-position model. The record is from RNAcentral.